This 197-nucleotide ribosomal RNA is filed under the name uncultured beta proteobacterium. Its description in RNAcentral is "partial 16S ribosomal RNA". It matches the Rfam family "Bacterial small subunit ribosomal RNA", at positions 335 to 524 of the family's 1533-position model. The record is from RNAcentral. Lineage: Bacteria; Pseudomonadati; Pseudomonadota; Betaproteobacteria.
ACUCCUACGGGAGGCAGCAGUGGGGAAUUUUGGACAAUGGGCGCAAGCCUGAUCCAGCAAUGCCGCGUGAGUGAAGAAGGCCUUCGGGUUGUAAAGCUCUUUCAGUUGAGAAGAAAAAAUUCUGGCUAAUACCCAGAAUUCAUGACGGUAUCGACAGAAGAAGCACCGGCUAACUACGUGCCAGCAGCCGCGGUAAU